Molecule: ribosomal RNA, 409 nt
Filed under: Brachystomia angusta
Lineage: Eukaryota; Metazoa; Mollusca; Gastropoda; Pyramidellidae
Description: Odostomia angusta partial 16S ribosomal RNA
Rfam family: Bacterial large subunit ribosomal RNA
Source: RNAcentral
AGCUCAAUGAAUAUAAAUUAAGUGUUUCCUGCUCACUGUGAUAAUAAAGAGCUGCAUUAAACUGUACUAAGGUAGCAUAAUAAAUUGGCUUUUAAUUGGAGUCUAGAAUGAAAGGGCGAAUGAUGGGAUAGCUUUCUUUUGUUAGAUAAAUUGAAUUUAAUACAUUGGUGAAAAUGCCCAAACCAGCAAAUAAGACGAGAAGACCCUAGGAAUUUUGAGUCUAUUAUUUUUGUUGGGGCAAUAGAUAUAAUAAUAUUUUUUAUUAAUAACAAGUCUACGUCAGAGUAAGAAAAAAUUACCCUAGGGAUAACAGCGCCAUUUUUAAAAAAGUUUGCGACCUCGAUGUUGGACUAGAAUACUUCUCUCAUAGAAUGUGAGAAGAAAUUACUCUGUUCGAGUAUUAAUUUCU